Mercenaria mercenaria is the source of this 1075-nucleotide long non-coding RNA. RefSeq lists it as uncharacterized. The transcript is spliced from 2 exons. The record is from RefSeq and is a predicted model, not a curated record. Lineage: Eukaryota; Metazoa; Mollusca; Bivalvia; Venerida; Veneridae.
UUAAUCUUGAUGAUCUCAAGGUCUAGUUUGAAUCUGGGUCAUGUAGGGUCAGAAAUUAGGUCACCAGGUCAAAUCAAAGGAAAAGCUAGUUAACACUCAAGAGGCCACAUUUAUGACCAUAUCUUAAUGAAACUUGGUCAGCAUGUUAAUCUUAAUGAUUCCUAUGUCAGGUGAGCAAUACAAGGCCUUCAUGGCCCUCUUGUUUAUAAAAGUUACCGUUUUCAGCAAGGUUUAUAAAUGCUUACAGCUUGCAAAAGCUAUUUCAGUCCUAUAUUUCUCAAUUUAAAAUAAAUGGAUGACUGUUGUUUAAAUAUGUUAUGGUAUAUUUCAGUGACGUGUGGGUCUUCUAUGAGAAUAUGGUAGUUACUAUGGUUCAAAGAUGCUACCCUUCAGUCACUGAGCUUCAAGAAACCAAACCUAAGGGAUACUGUCUCACCUGAAGAAGUUGCCAUCUGUUUGUCCAGUUUGUCAGUGGUUCUUUUUACUCCCGAGACUGAACUGCCCAAACCAGAUCAUAUAGAGACAUACCGGGUAUCUAUCAGGGGAAAUGAAGCUCCACACUGGAAAGGAGAGGUGUCCUAAACUGAGUAAGAUGGCUUUACUUCUCCUGUCACUACCGCACUGCAAUGCUGAUCCAGAGCCGUCCUUCAGCAUACUGAGGAAGAUACAAACUGACAGCAGGAACAACCUAGCUCUGGAAACCAUUCAGAACUUAAUGUCUGUGAAAAUGAAAAAUCACUCUAUAUGUUAACAUUCUCUUCAUCUCAUGAACUUAUUAGAGAGGGAAAGUCAGCGUGUAAUGUAUACACUCGUAAGUGAAGACGGCAUAAAUGAUGUGUUACUUGUUGAAAUACGAAACUGUGCUUUCAGUAUUUUUAUAAAGUGUCUAUGGUUAAGUGGAGACAACUCUAGUGAUUUGUAUUCAUUGUGAUAUCUUGAUAAGAGGACAUCAAUUAUGAAACAGAAAAGUGAUACUGAUAUGUCAUAUAUAUUGUAUUGUUAAAAUAGUAUAAUGUAUUCUGUUAGUAUUUUGAAGUGAAUAUAUUUAAAAGUAGAAUAAAAGAUAAUAUAAAUU